This 575-nucleotide ribosomal RNA is filed under the name Microbacterium phyllosphaerae. Its description in RNAcentral is "bacterial SSU rRNA". It matches the Rfam family "Bacterial small subunit ribosomal RNA", at positions 104 to 692 of the family's 1533-position model. Lineage: Bacteria; Bacillati; Actinomycetota; Actinomycetes; Micrococcales; Microbacteriaceae. The record is from RNAcentral.
GGGUGAGUAACACGUGAGCAACCUGCCCCUGACUCUGGGAUAAGCGCUGGAAACGGCGUCUAAUACUGGAUACGAGUAGCGACCGCAUGGUCAGUUACUGGAAAGAUUUAUUGGUUGGGGAUGGGCUCGCGGCCUAUCAGCUUGUUGGUGAGGUAAUGGCUCACCAAGGCGUCGACGGGUAGCCGGCCUGAGAGGGUGACCGGCCACACUGGGACUGAGACACGGCCCAGACUCCUACGGGAGGCAGCAGUGGGGAAUAUUGCACAAUGGGCGCAAGCCUGAUGCAGCAACGCCGCGUGAGGGAUGACGGCCUUCGGGUUGUAAACCUCUUUUAGCAGGGAAGAAGCGAAAGUGACGGUACCUGCAGAAAAAGCGCCGGCUAACUACGUGCCAGCAGCCGCGGUAAUACGUAGGGCGCAAGCGUUAUCCGGAAUUAUUGGGCGUAAAGAGCUCGUAGGCGGUUUGUCGCGUCUGCUGUGAAAUCCGGAGGCUCAACCUCCGGCCUGCAGUGGGUACGGGCAGACUAGAGUGCGGUAGGGGAGAUUGGAAUUCCUGGUGUAGCGGUGGAAUGCGCA